RNAcentral lists this ribosomal RNA (119 nucleotides) under Triticum aestivum (bread wheat). The record is from RNAcentral. Lineage: Eukaryota; Viridiplantae; Streptophyta; Magnoliopsida; Poales; Poaceae. RNAcentral also lists the same sequence under 1 other name.
GGAUGCGAUCAUACCAGCACUAAAGCACCGGAUCCCAUCAGAACUCCGAAGUUAAGCGUGCUUGGGCGAGAGUAGUACCAGGAUGGGUGACCUCCUGGGAAGUCCUCGUGUUGCAUUCC